RNAcentral lists this non-coding RNA (700 nucleotides) under Pongo abelii (Sumatran orangutan). Lineage: Eukaryota; Metazoa; Chordata; Mammalia; Primates; Hominidae. The record is from RNAcentral.
GAUCCUCUCUGUUGUGAUUCAUCCCCCCCAGGCCCUACAGUUUCUCCUUCCUGACUCUUACAUUUCUUUGGAUGGCAUCACUAUUAAACUAACUACUAAGUCUCUAUUGGUCAACCAUGUUGGCCAGGCUGGUCUUGAACCCUAGACCUUGUGAUCCACCCGCUUCGGCCUCCAAAAGUGCUAGGAUUACAGGCAUGAGCCACCGUGCCCGGCCCAGAGAGUCUUAAAUACCUGUCUCCUCCCAUAGUUAGUUGCCAAGCACUGUGGAUUCUACCCCUCAGGGUCCAGACACCCAUUUUCCUUCCCACUGUUCCCUCCCCAUGGAGAAGCCUGUGGCUGACUGACAGCUCAACUUGGAGAAGGUGUUACCUGGGCCAGGUGGGGAAGGUAGGGUUGUUUGCAGAGCAAAGAAGUGAAGCCUAUUCAAUGUGAAAAAGAUGAGGGCGAAGACCUUUAUGAUGAUCCAAGUAAUGAACACACUGGAGAAAGUCAAACAGUCAAAACAAUGUCCCAGACUCCGUGAAGUUCCUGGGUAGAGAAGUAGACAGACGUACACCAUACCUAAUAAUUGGAGGUCCAAGAGAAUGAGAGAAUGGCAGAAAGAACUUUAGAGCAUGGGUAUGAUGGCUAGAGCUUGAGCAGCCAUUGUGGACAUCAGAUGAACCUGAAAGUGAAAACUAUGAGCUGAAUAUGACAAAGC